Molecule: ribosomal RNA, 514 nt
Filed under: uncultured bacterium
Lineage: Bacteria
Description: partial 16S ribosomal RNA
Rfam family: Bacterial small subunit ribosomal RNA
Source: RNAcentral
GAUGAACGCUGGCGGCGUGCCUAAUACAUGCAAGUCGAGCGAAUGGAUUAAGAGCUUGCUCUUAUGAAGUUAGCGGCGGACGGGUGAGUAACACGUGGGUAACCUGCCCAUAAGACUGGGAUAACUCCGGGAAACCGGGGCUAAUACCGGAUAACAUUUUGAACCGCAUGGUUCGAAAUUGAAAGGCGGAUUCGGCUGUCACUUAUGUAUGACCCGCGUCGCAUUAGCUAGUUGGGGAGGUAACGGCUCACCAAGGCAACGAUGCGUAGCCGACCUGAGAGGGCGAUCGGCCACACUGGGACUGAGACACGGCCCAGACUCCUACGGGAGGCAGCAGUAGGGAAUCUUCCGCAAUGGACGAAAGUCUGACGGAGCAACGCCGCGUGAGUGAUGAAGGCUUUCGGGUCGUAAAACUCUGUUGUUAGGGAAGAACAAGUGCUAGUUGAAUAAGCUGGCACCUUGACGGUACCUAACCAGAAAGCCACGGCUAACUACGUGCCAGCCGCCGCGGUAA